Molecule: non-coding RNA, 852 nt
Organism: Solanum lycopersicum (tomato)
Lineage: Eukaryota; Viridiplantae; Streptophyta; Magnoliopsida; Solanales; Solanaceae
Source: RefSeq, a predicted model, not a curated record
AUUUCAUUUUUAUUCUCUCUUUAAAGAACUAGCUUGAAGACCCACAUGAUAGGCAUGAGAUUUCUCUCUUUGUAGGACGAACUCGUAAGUCAUCUAAGGAACAAAAUCCACCUGGAUCUACUGAAAAAUCAACAAUGUAUUUGUGAUUUUUGUGAUCGUCCCUAUCUUUCAGAGCUUCAUCUGGAUAGCUUGGAGCUGCUACAAUAAGUGAAUGGUGAAGUUUUGAUGACGGUUGGGCGCAAUACAGAAGCUGAAGAUGCUGCUAGGGGGCUUUAAAAUCACCAAGGUGGACUUCGGGUUGUGAGUACAUGAAGUUGCUAAUAUGGCUGAAUGGGAAGAUGAACAAAUUGAGUAUAUCAAAGAGAAAGUAACUGAGGAGGGUAAGGAAGCCGAUCUAAAGAAAGGAAGCAACUUGCUCAGGUUGAAUUGGAUGAAGCUACUUUCUUGUUGGAUCUAGAAAGCAUCGACAGUUCAUGGGACGAUUGCGCACAAAGGAUUGUUGAAUGCUAUAAGGAGGCGGGACUGCAUGAAGUUGCAAACUGUGUGGUUUACAGAGACUGAAAUAUCAACAACCUUGCAGAAUAUCAACGUCUUACACUACCCCUACGAGUUCUAAUUAGUGGCUUAUAAAGUUUUGCCUCUGGCAAAGUGUACUCUAAUUGUUUUCAGAAAAACAAGAAAAGACUUCACAAUAGUCCUUUAAAUAUGCACCCCCAUUUUGAUCUCCUCUCACACCGAGGUGAAUUGUAAAAGAACAAAAGUAAUAAUAUGUAACAAGUAACUUGCAUUGAAGUUGAAGCAGGUGAAAAAAAAGAAUACGAUGUGUUACUAUACUGAACUUUGAGGGUUUGA